Molecule: ribosomal RNA, 253 nt
Filed under: uncultured bacterium
Lineage: Bacteria
Description: partial 16S ribosomal RNA
Rfam family: Bacterial small subunit ribosomal RNA
Source: RNAcentral
UACGUAGGGUGCGAGCGUUGUCCGGAUUUAUUGGGCGUAAAGAGCGUGUAGGCGGCCAGACAGGUCCGUUGUGAAAACUCGAGGCUCAACCUCGAGACGCCGAUGGAAACCGUCUGGCUAGAGUCCGGAAGAGGAGAGUGGAAUUCCUGGUGUAGCGGUGAAAUGCGCAGAUAUCAGGAAGAACACCCGUGGCUAAGGCGGCUCUCUAGUACGGUACUGACGCUGAGACGCGAAAGCGUGGGGAGCGAACAGG